This 502-nucleotide ribosomal RNA is filed under the name uncultured bacterium. RNAcentral describes it as "partial 16S ribosomal RNA". It matches the Rfam family "Bacterial small subunit ribosomal RNA", at positions 899 to 1397 of the family's 1533-position model. The record is from RNAcentral.
ACUCAAAGGAAUUGACGGGGACCCGCACAAGCGGUGGAGCAUGUGGAUUAAUUCGAUACUAACCGAAGAACCUUACCCAGGUUUGACAUCGAGGGAAAGACUGUGAAAGCAGUCCCCCACCCACAAGGUGGCCCGAAGACAGAUGUUGCAUGGCUGUCGUCAGCUCGUGCCGUGAGGUGUACGGUUAAGUCCGCCAACGAGCGCAACCCCCGUCGUGUGUUACCAGCGAGUAAAGUCGGGAACUCACACGAGACCGCCGGUGUAAGCCGGAGGAAGGUGGGGAUGACGUCAAGUCAGCAUGGCUCUUACGCCUGGGGCUUCACACAUGCUACAAUGGGCGCAACAGAGGGAAGCGAUGCCGCGAGGUGGAGCAAAUCCCAAAAAUACGCCCCCAGUUCAGAUUGCAGUCUGCAACUCGACUGCAUGAAGUCGGAAUCGCUAGUAAACGCAGGUCAGCUAUACUGCGUUGAAUACGUUCCCGGGUCUUGUACACACCGCCCGU